RNAcentral lists this ribosomal RNA (496 nucleotides) under uncultured bacterium. RNAcentral's name for it is "bacterial SSU rRNA". It matches the Rfam family "Bacterial small subunit ribosomal RNA", at positions 27 to 518 of the family's 1533-position model. The record is from RNAcentral.
GGACGAACGCUGGCGGCGUGCUUAACACAUGCAAGUCGAACGGGGAUAUUCAGAUGAGAGCUUCGGCAGGAAUCAGGGAUAUCGAGUGGCGGACGGGUGAGUAACGCGUGAACAAUCUGUCCCAGACAGGGGGAUAACACUUGGAAACAGGUGCUAAUACCGCAUGAGACCACAGUGUCGCAUGGCACAGGGGGUAAAAGGAGCGAUCCGGUUUGGGGUGAGUUCGCGUCCGAUUAGCCAGUUGCGGGGUAACGGCCCACCAAAGCGACGAUCGGUAGCCGACCUGAGAGGGUGAUCGGCCACAUUGGAACUGAGAGACGGUCCAAACUCCUACGGGAGGCAGCAGUGGGGAAUAUUGGGCAAUGGGCGAAAGCCCUGACCCAGCAACGCCGCGUGAGUGAAGAAGGCCUUCGGGUUGUAAAGCUCUGUUAUAGGGGACGAAGGAAGUGACGGUACCCUAUAAGGAAGCCCCGGCUAACUACGUGCCAGCCGCUGC